Non-coding RNA from Danio rerio (zebrafish), 82 nucleotides. The record is from Rfam. NCBI's taxonomy places the organism in Eukaryota, Metazoa, Chordata, Actinopteri, Cypriniformes, Danionidae.
GGUAGCGUGGCCGAGUGGUCUAAGGCGCUAGAUUAAGGCUUCAGUCUCUUUGGGGCCGUGGGUUCGAAUCCCACCGCUGCCA